Molecule: long non-coding RNA, 519 nt
Organism: Galleria mellonella (greater wax moth)
Lineage: Eukaryota; Metazoa; Arthropoda; Insecta; Lepidoptera; Pyralidae
Exons: 2
Source: RefSeq, a predicted model, not a curated record
CGUCGGAAGUCAGAUGUGUGAUUAUUAUUUUCGAUGAUAUUUAUUAAUUUUUAUCAGAGUAGGUGUUGAAAAUUUACGAUCAUGAUUGUCUUUGAUUGAUGAGAGUAGUGGCUGGUAUUGAUAUGUGGUAAUAAAAUUAUGCUGAAUUAUCGAUAUUAGAUAAUUUUCAUUCUCAAUGGGAGUAAAGUGGAGGAACGGUUUGGUAACGGCGACUGCAGUUAGCGGUCGUACGGUCAUCGACUCGCGACAAUUAAAUCGAUGCAGUGAACACAGCUCCAAACGUCACCGCAGUUUGACGGCCAAGUGUUAAAAUACGACCGCGAGAUAUCGUUAGGAGAGCGAGUGUCAUAGAAGACGUGACUUCGUAUGUAAGCACUGUUAAAAAUCUAUCAUAAUUAACAGUGUAAAAAAAAAAAACAAAGAAUAAUUCGAAAAACAAGAGUCUGAGUAUGUGAUGACGGUGAUUAGAAACGUAUUGUUAUAGAGUUUCCAAUAGUUUGAAAUAAAGCAAUAGAACUA